CGAUUCUGGAGUCUACCGCAGUGCCUGACAUGCCGUGGAUUCAGUCUGAUGAGCUGCUGAAACAAGCAAUGAAGAACAUCAACCAAGUGAUAAAGAACAGCUUCGAGUGAGGACAGGAGCAGCACCUCUGCAUCUAUCAUCAGGCACUUUGCUUGGAGGAACCACCUCUCCCAGGCAGGGUGUGUGGUCCUGCAGAGGGUUUGCUCUGAUGCUCUUCCGCUCGGGCCCUCGUCUUGGCUGGAUCUCCCUAUACCUGUGGCCUCUGCACAUCCCAGCAGGAAGGUAGAGGAAGCUGGACUCUGAUGACUUGGUCUUUCCCUUCCCUGGUAUUUCCAGUGUUCACAACAACGUUAACAUCACCAGUGUAUAAACAGCUCUUUCCUGUUCCAAGAGCCAGAGAAGCAGUCCAGGAAAAAUGGAUGGAGACUAU
Budorcas taxicolor (takin) is the source of this 430-nucleotide long non-coding RNA. RefSeq lists it as uncharacterized. The record is from RefSeq and is a predicted model, not a curated record. NCBI's taxonomy places the organism in Eukaryota, Metazoa, Chordata, Mammalia, Artiodactyla, Bovidae. The transcript is spliced from 3 exons.